This is a long non-coding RNA of Rhincodon typus (whale shark), 348 nucleotides long. RefSeq lists it as uncharacterized. NCBI's taxonomy places the organism in Eukaryota, Metazoa, Chordata, Chondrichthyes, Orectolobiformes, Rhincodontidae. The transcript has 3 exons. The record is from RefSeq and is a predicted model, not a curated record.
CAACAGCAAGCCAUGUGAGGAGAUACUUGCUCAAAUGUUUGCUGACUUGAGCCUUACAACCCGCAGAUGGAAAAAGAGAGAGAGAAAGAGAGAGAGAAGAGGACUUAGAAGCAGAACCCAAUUUCACAACUAAUAAUCAUAACAUAUUACGAACAUCCAUCAUAUUGCAGUAGUGUGGUUCUUACCAGUGAAGGACUCCUCACUGUCUGGCCACAGACCAUUGGUCACUUCAAUUAUGGCUGUCCAGACCAGCUCCUUCCAAGAUUUGAGUUCAGGGCACAGCACCAUUCUUUAUCCUCCUGCAGUGUUUUACCUCUGUUCUGUUUCCAAUAAACUUAUCUUGUAUCU